RNAcentral lists this unclassified non-coding RNA (345 nucleotides) under soil metagenome. Its description in RNAcentral is "partial contains 5.8S ribosomal RNA, internal transcribed spacer 2, and large subunit ribosomal RNA". The stretch from base 1 to 119 matches the Rfam family "5.8S ribosomal RNA", at positions 35 to 154 of the family's 154-position model. The record is from RNAcentral.
GAUGAAGAACGCAGCGAAAUGCGAUACGUAAUGUGAAUUGCAAAUUCAGUGAAUCAUCGAGUCUUUGAACGCACAUUGCGCCCCCUGGUAUUCCGGGGGGCAUGCCUGUCCGAGCGUCAUUGCUGCCCUCAAGCACGGCUUGUGUGUUGGGCCCCGUCCUCCGAUCCCGGGGGACGGGCCCGAAAGGCAGCGGCGGCACCGCGUCUGGUCCUCGAGCGUAUGGGGCUUUGUCACCCGCUCUGUAGGCCCGGCCGGCGCUUGCCGAUCAACCCAAAUUUUUAUCCAGGUUGACCUCGGAUCAGGUAGGGAUACCCGCUGAACUUAAGCAUAUCAAUAAGCGGAGGA